UAGCUUGGGCGCAGCAUGAUCCAGCCAUGCCGCGUGAGUGAUGAAGGCCUUCGGGUUGUAAAGCUCUUUUGUCCGGGAAGAAAAUGACGGGACCGGGCGAAUAAGCCCCGGCUAGCUUCGUGCCAGCAGCCCCGCCGCUAUUUUAUGCCCGCCGCCGCGAGUAUAA
Molecule: ribosomal RNA, 166 nt
Filed under: uncultured bacterium
Lineage: Bacteria
Description: partial 16S ribosomal RNA
Rfam family: Bacterial small subunit ribosomal RNA
Source: RNAcentral